Cygnus atratus (black swan) is the source of this 225-nucleotide long non-coding RNA. RefSeq lists it as uncharacterized. The record is from RefSeq and is a predicted model, not a curated record. Lineage: Eukaryota; Metazoa; Chordata; Aves; Anseriformes; Anatidae. The transcript is spliced from 3 exons.
CCUCCUGGAGGGCACCCAAAUCAGGGUGGGGUUCCCUGCCACUACAGAGCCCAUGCUUCUACCUCUGAGAGGCACUGGCAGGAAGAGAUGAAGGAGUUCAGCCUGCCCAAACUGUCCCGCUUGGGGUGAAGAACUCUGCCCUCUUCUUGGGGAAUUCCUGGCUCUGGGAUUGUUGGACCCUCUGCACGAUCCUGCAUUGUGGAGUCCUAUACUGUUAAUGCUUCU